GCGGUGCCAGCGGGGCAUCCGUGACUGGGCGUGCUGCGCCGGCGCGAGACGCAUGCGCACAAGGACCGCCGUGGGAGCGGGAGGGCGGCCUGAGGGCCUGUCCGGGGUGAAGGCGCCGUCCACACCCCUUUGCCAGACAUGUCUGUCAUUAGAAAAACUUAAGUGGAAAAAGCAACUGGAGACUUCUCCUUUAUAAAGCCUCGUGGUGGAACAUCUGCUUGACCAUAUCAGUGGGAGGAUGAAGGUGCCACACAGGGACUCGAAAUGAAUUGAAAAGGCUCAUCAGCGUGA
Molecule: long non-coding RNA, 291 nt
Organism: Peromyscus eremicus (cactus mouse)
Lineage: Eukaryota; Metazoa; Chordata; Mammalia; Rodentia; Cricetidae
Exons: 3
Source: RefSeq, a predicted model, not a curated record